ACAAUGUCAAAAUGUCUCACGUGCC
Molecule: non-coding RNA, 25 nt
Filed under: Rattus norvegicus (Norway rat)
Lineage: Eukaryota; Metazoa; Chordata; Mammalia; Rodentia; Muridae
Source: RNAcentral